AGAAAAGGUAGCAUUGUAGAAAAUGGGUAGUUAGUUGAUGAUCAUUUAGGAAAACGUAUAUCAGUGAUAAUAUAAUCUUGACAGGAAACCAUAACAGGAAUUGAUCGAAUUAUACAAUAUAUACAGCCACAUAAGACAAUUUUAUGAAGAACUGAAAGACUAUUACGGAGAUGGAGUAUACUCUUUUACUGUUUGUUGUGGCAAAAAUUUAUUCUGUUGAAAGCGGUUUACCACCUGAUAUAUUCCUUAAAGGAAAGUCCUUCACCAACAAUAAUGCAACAGUGUUUCAAUUUAUUUGCUCAACCAACAUCGCCGUUUGGCCGUGUUCCGUAGAGUUUCUAAUAGAGAACAGGACACAUAAUGAUAUUCGAUAUGUUGAUGACACGUGUUACCAUACAUAUGGGAUAUGCACUCCAAAUAUGUGCGCAUGUUCUGAUAGCUGCAAAUCAUUCACCUGGAAUGUUACAGUAGUAGAAGAAAUGAAGAACCGUUCAUAUAGUUGUGUUACUAGAAUGGUUACAGGGGAAGUAAAGUUUUUAGCAAAUAUAACUGUCAAAUGGGACGGCAAGGAUGGAUUUCAAACCUUUAAGAAGAUUGUUGUUCCUACCAAUAUUGUGAUUCAACAGUCAACUACUCCAAAAUCAGAGUCUGUUCAAUUAAUCAUCAUAUCAACUACAGUUGGAUCAGUAACAUGCAUGUUUACAUUAAUUGUGUUGUCUUUAACUUGCCGGAAGAUAUGCCGUUCGAAGCGACACGAAG
This is a long non-coding RNA of Mytilus californianus (California mussel), 759 nucleotides long. RefSeq lists it as uncharacterized. The record is from RefSeq and is a predicted model, not a curated record. Lineage: Eukaryota; Metazoa; Mollusca; Bivalvia; Mytilida; Mytilidae. The transcript is spliced from 5 exons.